AUUGAACGCUGGCGGCAGGCCUAACACAUGCAAGUCGAACGAGUGGCGGACGGGUGAGUAAUGUCUGGGAAACUGCCUGAUGGAGGGGGAUAACUACUGGAAACGGUAGCUAAUACCGCAUACCAUCAGAUGUGCCCAGAUGGGAUUAGCUAGUUGGUGGGGUAACGGCUCACCAAGGCGACGAUGCCUAGCUGGGCUGAGAGGAUGACCAGCCACACUGGAACUGUGCAACGGUCCAGACGCCUACGGGAGGCAGCAGUGGGGACUAUGGAACAAUGGGCGCAAUCCUGAUGCAGCCAUGCCGCGUGUAUGAAGAAGGCCUUCGGGUUGUAAAGUACGUUCAGCGGUGAGGCGUUACCCGCAGAAGAAGCACCGGCUAACUCCGUGCCAGCAGCCGCGGUAAUUC
Molecule: ribosomal RNA, 406 nt
Filed under: uncultured bacterium
Lineage: Bacteria
Description: partial 16S ribosomal RNA
Rfam family: Bacterial small subunit ribosomal RNA
Source: RNAcentral